Long non-coding RNA from Coregonus clupeaformis (lake whitefish), 247 nucleotides. RefSeq lists it as uncharacterized. Lineage: Eukaryota; Metazoa; Chordata; Actinopteri; Salmoniformes; Salmonidae. The record is from RefSeq and is a predicted model, not a curated record. The transcript is spliced from 3 exons.
UGUGGAGAUGUUGAAGACUAAAGCUUGGGACCAGGCAUCCAUUGCUAUGCAUGAGGCCACAAUGAAGAAGGUCCCUCAGAUUGGGUUCCUCAGCAAUGACCAUUACAACAUUGUGGAACUUGAGGAUGUUCAUCACAACAGGAUUGGACAGUGGGUCAACACUACAUAUAGUGGCAACAUUAUGCAGCUUUCUCACCUCCUCAACUCUGAAGCACCUGUAGGAUCCUUUACCAUUGUAGUUUGGAUU